AUGCAGUCGAGGGGCAGCAUAAAUUACUUGUAAUUUGAUGGCGACCGGCGAACGGGUGCGUAACGCGUAUGCAACCUACCUUUUACUAGAGAAUAGCCAAGAGAAAUUUUGAUUAAUGCUCUAUACACUUUAAGACUCACAUGAGUCUAAAAGAAAAGCUCCGGCGGUAAAAGAUGGGCAUGCGUUCUAUUAGCUUGUAGGUGAGGUAACGGCUCACCUAAGCUUCGAUAGAUAGGGGUCCUGAGAGGGAGACCCCCCACACUGGUACUGAGACACGGACCAGACUUCUACGGAAGGCAGCAGUAAGGAAUAUUGGACAAUGGAGGCAACUCUGAUCCAGCCAUGCCGCGUGAAGGAAGAAGGCCCUAUGGGUCGUAAACUUCUUUUAUACAGGAAGAAAUCUUUCCACGUGUGGAAAGUUGACGGUACUGUAAGAAUAAGGAUCGGCUAACUCCGUGCCAGCAGCCGCGGUAAUACGGAGGAUCCAAGCGUUAUCCGGAAUUAUUGGGUUUAAAGGGUCCGCAGGCUGCUUGUUAAGUUAGAGGUGAAAUCCUACCGCUCAACGGUAGAACUGCCUUUAAAACUGGCAAACUUGAGUUAUUGUGAAGUAAUUAGAAUGUGUAGUGUAGCGGUGAAAUGCAUAGAUAUUACACAGAAUACCGAUUGCGAAAGCAGAUUACUAACAAUUAACUGACGCUGAGGGACGAAAGCGUGGGUAGCGAACAGGAUUAGAUACCCUGGUAGUCCACGCCGUAAACGAUGGUCACUAGCUGUUUGAUGUACAUUGGUACAUUGAGUGGCUAAGCGAAAGUGAUAAGUGACCCACCUGGGGAGUA
RNAcentral lists this ribosomal RNA (836 nucleotides) under uncultured Bacteroidota bacterium. RNAcentral's name for it is "bacterial SSU rRNA". It matches the Rfam family "Bacterial small subunit ribosomal RNA", at positions 55 to 882 of the family's 1533-position model. The record is from RNAcentral. Lineage: Bacteria; Pseudomonadati; Bacteroidota.